This 375-nucleotide ribosomal RNA is filed under the name uncultured bacterium. Its description in RNAcentral is "bacterial SSU rRNA". It matches the Rfam family "Bacterial small subunit ribosomal RNA", at positions 30 to 404 of the family's 1533-position model. The record is from RNAcentral.
AUUGAACGCUGGCGGCAUGCCUUACACAUGCAAGUCGAACGGCAGCACGGGAGCAAUCCUGGUGGCGAGUGGCGAACGGGUGAGUAAUAUAUCGGAACGUGCCCAGUAGUGGGGGGAUAACUGCUCGAAAGAGCAGCUAAUACCGCAUACGACCUGAGGGUGAAAGGGGGGGAUCGCAAGACCUCUCGCUAUUGGAGCGGCCGAUAUCAGAUUAGCUAGUUGGUGGGGUAAAGGCCUACCAAGGCAACGAUCUGUAGUUGGUCUGAGAGGACGACCAGCCACACUGGGACUGAGACACGGCCCCAGACUCCUACGGGAGGCAGCAGUGGGAAUUUUGGACAAUGGGCGCAAGCCUGAUCCAGCAAUGCCGCGUGC